RNAcentral lists this ribosomal RNA (1063 nucleotides) under Lactiplantibacillus plantarum. RNAcentral's name for it is "bacterial SSU rRNA". It matches the Rfam family "Bacterial small subunit ribosomal RNA", at positions 23 to 1050 of the family's 1533-position model. The record is from RNAcentral. Lineage: Bacteria; Bacillati; Bacillota; Bacilli; Lactobacillales; Lactobacillaceae.
CUCAGGACGAACGCUGGCGGCGUGCCUAAUACAUGCAAGUCGAACGAACUCUGGUAUUGAUUGGUGCUUGCAUCAUGAUUUACAUUUGAGUGAGUGGCGAACUGGUGAGUAACACGUGGGAAACCUGCCCAGAAGCGGGGGAUAACACCUGGAAACAGAUGCUAAUACCGCAUAACAACUUGGACCGCAUGGUCCGAGCUUGAAAGAUGGCUUYGGCUAUCACUUUUGGAUGGUCCCGCGGCGUAUUAGCUAGAUGGUGGGGUAACGGCUCACCAUGGCAAUGAUACGUAGCCGACCUGAGAGGGUAAUCGGCCACAUUGGGACUGAGACACGGCCCAAACUCCUACGGGAGGCAGCAGUAGGGAAUCUUCCACAAUGGACGAAAGUCUGAUGGAGCAACGCCGCGUGAGUGAAGAAGGGUUUCGGCUCGUAAAACUCUGUUGUUAAAGAAGAACAUAUCUGAGAGUAACUGUUCAGGUAUUGACGGUAUUUAACCAGAAAGCCACGGCUAACUACGUGCCAGCAGCCGCGGUAAUACGUAGGUGGCAAGCGUUGUCCGGAUUUAUUGGGCGUAAAGCGAGCGCAGGCGGUUUUUUAAGUCUGAUGUGAAAGCCUUCGGCUCAACCGAAGAAGUGCAUCGGAAACUGGGAAACUUGAGUGCAGAAGAGGACAGUGGAACUCCAUGUGUAGCGGUGAAAUGCGUAGAUAUAUGGAAGAACACCAGUGGCGAAGGCGGCUGUCUGGUCUGUAACUGACGCUGAGGCUCGAAAGUAUGGGUAGCAAACAGGAUUAGAUACCCUGGUAGUCCAUACCGUAAACGAUGAAUGCUAAGUGUUGGAGGGUUUCCGCCCUUCAGUGCUGCAGCUAACGCAUUAAGCAUUCCGCCUGGGGAGUACGGCCGCAAGGCUGAAACUCAAAGGAAUUGACGGGGGCCCGCACAAGCGGUGGAGCAUGUGGUUUAAUUCGAAGCUACGCGAAGAACCUUACCAGGUCUUGACAUACUAUGCAAAUCUAAGAGAUUAGACGUUCCCUUCGGGGACAUGGAUACAGGUGGUGCAUGGUU